RNAcentral lists this ribosomal RNA (253 nucleotides) under uncultured bacterium. Its description in RNAcentral is "partial 16S ribosomal RNA". It matches the Rfam family "Bacterial small subunit ribosomal RNA", at positions 524 to 776 of the family's 1533-position model. The record is from RNAcentral.
UACGAAGGCGGCAAGCGUUGUUCGGAUUUACUGGGCGUACAGGGAGCGUAGGCGGCUGGGUAAGCCCUCCGUGAAAUCUCCGGGCCUAACCCGGAAAGUGCGGAGGGGACUGCUCGGCUAGAGGAUGGGAGAGGAGCGCGGAAUUCCCGGUGUAGCGGUGAAAUGCGUAGAGAUCGGGAGGAAGGCCGGUGGCGAAGGCGGCGCUCUGGAACAUUUCUGACGCUGAGGAUCGAAAGCGUGGGGAGCAAACAGG